Molecule: long non-coding RNA, 219 nt
Organism: Pan troglodytes (chimpanzee)
Lineage: Eukaryota; Metazoa; Chordata; Mammalia; Primates; Hominidae
Exons: 2
Source: RefSeq, a predicted model, not a curated record
AGGUUCAUUCUCUCGCAGCUGAGGACCUUAUACUGGGUCAUCUCCUCCCCACCCCGGCCCCGGUGGCAGGACACCCUCACUGCAUCGAGGUGAGAAGGCAGCUGUCUAUAAACCCAGAAGAGGGAACUCACCAGAACCUGACCAUGCCGGCAUCUUGAUCUUGGACUUCUCGGCCUCCAGAAUUAAGAGAAAUAAAUUUCUGUUGUUUAGACCACUCAA